UCCUGUCGCCCUACAUCCUCAACCUCGGA
RNAcentral lists this small RNA (29 nucleotides) under Bombyx mori (domestic silkworm). RNAcentral's name for it is "ovarian small RNA-27980". The record is from RNAcentral. Lineage: Eukaryota; Metazoa; Arthropoda; Insecta; Lepidoptera; Bombycidae.